Molecule: long non-coding RNA, 552 nt
Organism: Hordeum vulgare subsp. vulgare (domesticated barley)
Lineage: Eukaryota; Viridiplantae; Streptophyta; Magnoliopsida; Poales; Poaceae
Exons: 2
Source: RefSeq, a predicted model, not a curated record
CAAGCCCCCUGGAGCAGCCAGGCAACCGAGUGAGCCCGUCUCCCUUGCCGACGGCCAAGACAACCACCGUCGUCUCUCGGUCAACCCCGACCAGCCCAUAGCCUCCCCCGCCUCCUUGGAACCGCCAUUAGUCUCCUAAUGCACUAUAGAACCCAUCCCCGCCCACAAUUUAGCUCAAGAGACACGGUGUGCCGAAACCACCUUCCCAUCGCAGCUCCCUUCCGCCAUGGACAAAGAUUGCAUAUUUGAAAAGGAGCAUCCUGACGACAACCCCAGAACCUACGCACCGAUGAUAGUAGCCACACGAGAUAGGAGUUAUCCACUUCAGCCGUUCUUGUUGGAAAGGGAGUCCCGUUGAUGCUGGAGAUCCCCGAACCGCUUCGGCCAUCAACCACUAGAGAUCUUUGUUAUACUCCAUAGACCAUCAUGGUAUUGUACUCCAAAAUUAUGUAUUUUCUUGGAUAUUUGUAUCAAUGAAGUGUGCAUCAGCUAAUAGUAUUCCUAGGGCUGAUAUGCACAAGGGGCAUUUGAUGGAAAAUUAAUAACCUAGAA